GUACUCGCUUCAGAAGCACAUACACUAAAAUUGGAGCGAUACAGAGAAGAUUAGCCUGGCCCCUGUGCAAGAUUUUACUGAGUUUUCAAAUUGUGAGGGGCACAGUCUUU
This is a small nuclear RNA of Suncus etruscus (white-toothed pygmy shrew), 110 nucleotides long. The record is from RefSeq and is a predicted model, not a curated record. NCBI's taxonomy places the organism in Eukaryota, Metazoa, Chordata, Mammalia, Eulipotyphla, Soricidae.